ACUUUUCUGUUCUUUCUGUCAAUUUUCUCUAUCUUCCCAAAACCUUCAUCAUCUUCUCAGAAUCUUCUUCUGCACCGAUCUUCCCUUGAUUCAUGGAUCAACCCAACAGGAUUCUUCAUCUAACAAGGUUAUUAUCAAGGUGACAACCCUAGCCCUUCUGUUGGUUCAGGGGGCAAUGAUUCUCUUAAGAGGAAGCCUUCGUACGACAAGAUGAUUUGGUUCAUGUUGGAUGAGUAGCACAAAGGAGAACGGUGAUUUAAUCUAGGAAAUGAAGACCGCUUAUAAUUCUGGCAAAGGUUGAUUUCUCAAUUUGGUGCGAUUAUUAGGGAUUGAUUUUGCAAACUUCACAGGUGGAUUUCUCAAUUUGGUGCGGUUAUUAGGGUUUGAUUUUACAAAUUUCAUCAGACAAGUAUGAUAUGAGGAGAGGUCGGUUUGCAAAGAACGGACUGAUUCAGUACCAGAUUGUAUGCCAACAAGUUAAUGUUGGUUCUCUGGAAGAGGUGAUCAAACCAUUUUUGCAUCUUUCAACUGAGAAAGUUGAGAAUGCAAAGACCCAGGCAGAGGCUUUAGAAGAAGCUCUAGACAUUGAUGACUUGGAAGCGGAUAAGAGGCCUGAAGACUUGAUGCUGAGCUAUAUUGGUGGAGAGAAGGGAAAGGAUAUAUCUGACCGCGAGCUUGUUACUCUGUGGUUAGAGGCCUACAGAAUGGUUCUCUAAAUUCUCCGUAACAACACUAAACUAGAAGCAUUCUACGCGGUAAGCCAUCUGAUAUUUUAAUUAGGUUUACCUCCUUUCAACCGCUUUUUAUCUCUUAGGCAUUUUUGAUUUUUCAGUCUUGAUGAGUUUGAGUGUAAUAUUUCUCUCUAUUGUAAUGAUGACUGCACACCGAGUCUUCCAGUUUUGUAAGAAGCACAAGAGAACAACUGAAUUCUGUAGGCUUUGCGACAUAAUCAGAAACCAUCUUGCAAAUCUUAACAAAUACAAGGACCAGAAAGACAUACCUGACUAAUUGAGAUUGAACUUUGGCAGCUUUUCGUUUUGCGUAAGACAUUCAUGGUUUGAUGUAUAUGGUAAAGAAAACUCCCAAGCCAUAAGUGAUGGUCAUUUAUUAUGGCAAGCUGACGGAGAUGUUCCGGGUUUCGAACUAUCAACUUUAUAAUGCAUAUGCAUGGUCCAAACUGUUCUCACGACAAAGGGUACUGCAGGAGUUGCCAUAGCUAGUGUUUUGGGAGUCUAAUGUAUGCUUAUAACAGAGCACAAGUAUACUUUCAACAAAGAAUGUUUGUCUGUUGGUUUAAUAUCUGUAAUCAAAUGCUCUUUCUUGCCUAAGUGCAUUCGGUUUUGGUUUUAGGGAUGGGUCACGAUUCUUGAGUUUUGGUUCGUAAAAGUA
Molecule: long non-coding RNA, 1389 nt
Organism: Papaver somniferum (opium poppy)
Lineage: Eukaryota; Viridiplantae; Streptophyta; Magnoliopsida; Ranunculales; Papaveraceae
Exons: 8
Source: RefSeq, a predicted model, not a curated record